UAACUCCUAUUAUUUUUAAUGAUCUAUGGGUGACGUUUCUUAUGUCAAAAUUGAUUUAACUUCAAAUUUGUUUUGUAAAUGUACUGUUGUUAUUAUAAAUACUAAAAUAACUGAAAUGUCUUCCCAAAUAAGUACAAAAGAAAAGUUACUUUACAUUUUGGACGACAUGGAGUUAAUAGCAAAAGAACUUAUUGAAAAUGCAAUUGCUCCCAAGCAUUUAAAGCUUUCUGGUCCCGAAUAUGCCCAGUUAACCGAGCUUCUUGUUGCAAAAGACGAAGAGUUAAAGCAGACUUUAAAAUUAGCUCAGAAACAAGCUGACAUUGAAGAAAAAAUGGAUGUACUAAGAUUGGAAGUUGAACGACGAGAUAAAGACAUAAAUCAGUUACAAACAAAACUUAAAGAAGCUGAGCAAAUACUUUCUACAGCAAUUUAUCAAGCAAAUCAAAAACUUCAGUCAAUACAUAGAGCAAAUAAGAGACCGGUGUCUUCAGAGGAGCUUAUUAAGUUUGCACAUCGAAUUAGUGCCUCUAAUGCUGUUUGUGCCCCACUCACAUGGCAACAGGGAGAUCCUAGAAGACCUUAUCCUACAGAUAUUGAGAUGAGACUUGGAUUUUUGGGUAGAUUAAGUGAUCCUAUUAAUGGCCAUCUUCUACAACAACCUAAUAAUAUAUCAGAUUUGCACAGACUUGGGGGACCAGCUACAGGGGACAUUCCUGCAUCUCAACAAAAUCAGUUUGCUUGGCUCCCGUCUGGAGAGAUACAUAUGAGUGUGGGGGGCCAAGGUAGUGUGCCAGUGGAAACUCGUAAUCACAAACAGGAAACUGAGGAUGUGGAGGUCAUGUCUACAGAUUCCAGUAGUAGCUCGUCCAGUGACUCACAGUAAAAGGCUCCAAUAUUUAAAACAUCUUAUGUAACUUGUGAAGUUUUUAACCUACAAAGUGUUGUGAAACAAAAUGAUUUUUGGGAAGCUUUUUCCGAAUAAUUUAUUGGCUUCUUACGUAAAAAAUCUUCGUACCAGGGCAAAAGCAACGUUGAGCAAUGAAACGAUUUCGAAGUCGCUAAAGGACUCGUUGAAAUUGAGUAAUUUUAGUAGCCAUUCGAUAAGACUGUUCAAAACAUGGGUUAGCCAGUGGGAAUACAUCUUGGCAUUUCGUAUCAGGAAAGGACACCAGCUAAUUUGUAUUUACUAUCGUUUUUGGAACGAAAAAAAUUUAAAGGAACUUUUGAGGCAACUGAAAUUACAACUUUUCAAGAACAGAAAGGAUGUCAUGCUAGCUGUAGUUGGGGCUUCUGUGUAUGACUGGAACACCAAUCGUAUCAAAGAUGAAGAAAUGGUCAAGCAUUUUGAUGCAUUUAAUUAUGCAUAUUUGCUAAAAUCCAAGACCAUAUCAUGUUCUACAUGUACUGAAAGGAAAGUAGAUAGUAAUAAUGUUGGUUAUAUAAAUGUUUCUCAUUGUGCAGGUAAAGAUCGUCAGACUUACGACGAGUGGUCUGUAUUCAUCGAGAAACAGGAUAUGAUAGUAUGGAGAAGGCCCCAUUCUUCUGGCAAUUUUGAAUACAAAGUCUAUGGGUCUUAUCAUGAUGUAUCAGGUGAAGAUUUUCUUAAUGUACAGAUAGAUACAAAAUACCGCAAAGAAUGGGACAAUACAGCAAUUCAACUAGAUAUAGUAGAGGCUGAUCCAAAUACAGAGUCGAAUAGUGACAUCAUUUACUGGGAAAUGCAAUGGCCAAAAUUCUUCACCAAUCGUGACUAUGUGUUCAACCGUCGUUUUACAGUGGAUUGCGACAAAAAGAUAAUCGUCAUAAUUAGCCAAAGUACAACACACCCUUCGUGUCCAGUUCAAAAGGAUAAAUAUAGGGUGACAGACUAUUUUUCUGCAAUGGUUGUUAAACCAUACACCGAACUAGACAAGCCUGGUAUCGAAUUCGUCCUAACUUACUUCGAUAACCCUGGAGUUAACAUCCCCAACAGCAUUAAUUCGUGGGUGGCAAUGAGGGCCAUGCCUGAUUUUCUAACUCGUCUCAGGGAAGCAACGAAACACUACAAACCCUUCUGCGAACGAACAGGUAAUAGCUGUAUUUGCACUUUGGAAGAUCGAAGUGGCGAACGAAAACGUAAAAAGAAGAAGUGUGACAGAAAGCCGAAACUUGUUGGUAACGUAGCAAAUGACGAGGUAUUUGGACUUAAUGCUGGAGAACUUGAAAAAGCUUUUGAAAAUAUAAAGGAAAAUGUGGAACAUAAAUUAGACGACAUAAAGGACGACAUAAAAAAAGUUCUGAGUAAAAUUAAAGAGGACUUGAAGGAAAAUUAUAACAUAGAAGAUAAGAAUAAGAAAAUCAAAAGGGGAACGAAUGAUAACUCGAGGGACGAUUACUCGGAUGCAGAGAACAAUGAAAAUGAAGAACACCAUAAAAAGAAAACUAAUAAAGAACAUCCUGUAAAACCAAAAAAACCAAACGUUGCCGGUGCCAAUAAAGAAGCUGAGGAAAUACUUAUUUCUCCUACGCCUGCUGUAAGAAAUGAGCAAGACAGGAAAAAGUUUUGGAGACAUUUCUACGACUACGACUAUUAUCACAGAUGAUGGGGAUAGUUUAUGUUAUCCAAUUUUUUAUAUUGUAGAAGUAGUACUUAUCCUAGUUAACCAUACUAAUUAAUUGUCAACAGGUAACACAAAACAAAAAAAGAGAGAAUUUAAGCGACUUUAAAAAUGCCAAAUAUGUGUAACACA
Molecule: unclassified non-coding RNA, 2729 nt
Filed under: Agrilus planipennis (emerald ash borer)
Lineage: Eukaryota; Metazoa; Arthropoda; Insecta; Coleoptera; Buprestidae
Description: stAR-related lipid transfer protein 7, mitochondrial, transcript variant X1
Source: RNAcentral